AUACGUAGGGGGCGAGCGUUGUCCGGAAUGAUUGGGCGUAAAGGGCGCGUAGGCGGCGCGGUAAGUCUGGAGUGAAAGUCCUGCUUUCAAGGUGGGAAUUGCUUUGGAUACUGCCGCGCUUGAGUGCAGGAGAGGUUAUCGGAAUUCCCGGUGUAGCGGUGAAAUGCGUAGAGAUCGGGAGGAACACCAGUGGCGAAGGCGGGUAACUGGACUGCAACUGACGCUGAGGCGCGAAAGUGUGGGGAGCAAACAGGAUUAGAUACCCUGGUAGUCCACACUGUAAACGAUGAAUGCUAGGUGUAAGAGGUAUCGACCCCUUUUGUGCCGGAGUCAACACAAUAAGCAUUCCGCCUGGGGAGUACGGCCGCAAGGUUGAAACUCAAAGGAAUUGACGGG
RNAcentral lists this ribosomal RNA (396 nucleotides) under uncultured bacterium. RNAcentral describes it as "partial 16S ribosomal RNA". It matches the Rfam family "Bacterial small subunit ribosomal RNA", at positions 523 to 917 of the family's 1533-position model. The record is from RNAcentral.